RNAcentral lists this ribosomal RNA (397 nucleotides) under uncultured bacterium. RNAcentral describes it as "partial 16S ribosomal RNA". It matches the Rfam family "Bacterial small subunit ribosomal RNA", at positions 523 to 918 of the family's 1533-position model. The record is from RNAcentral.
AUACGUAGGGGGCGAGCGUUGUCCGGAAUGACUGGGCGUAAAGGGCGCGUAGGCGGUUGUUUAAGUUAGGAGUGAAAGUCCAGCUUUUAAGGUUGGAAUAGCUUUUAAUACUGGAUGACUUGAGUGCGGAAGAGGUAAGUGGAAUUCCCAGUGUAGCGGUGAAAUGCGUAGAGAUUGGGAGGAACACCAGUGGCGAAGGCGACUUACUGGGCCGUAACUGACGCGGAGGCGCGAAAGCGUGGGGAGCGAACAGGAUUAGAUACCCUGGUAGUCCACGCGGUAAACGAUGAAUGCUAGGUGUAGGGGGUAUCUACCCCUUCUGUGCCGGAGCAAACGCAAUAAGCAUUCCGCCUGGGGAGUACGGCCGCAAGGUUGAAACUCAAAUGAAUUGACGGGG